GAAUGUUUUCUAAGUCAAGUGACAUAACUCUGUAUACCAAAUUUUAUUUCAGUAUGUGCAACUGUUGCGCAGAAAAUGAAAGGAAACUAAGUGGAUAGACAGCAGCAAAGUAAUAUACCAUCCCUUCUUCGAAGAGGGGCAUAAUAAUCAUCGAAUUGAUGAAAUCAAUUUACCCUCAAAUUUUAAGACGCGUUUUACAAUGAAUACGGUUGCCAAUCCUCCCAAGUCAGAUGCAGGUCAUUUAGUAGGUCAAAUGACAACCAUGUGUGACACAUCUGCAGUGGUCGUUGAAAGUGUUGACGAGAGUGUUCAUAUAGCUACACUAUCUGAUCCAGCAGAAACGGUCGUUUUACCUGCAGUAGCGUUGCCAAUCCUCCCACGUCAGUAGGUCAAAUGACAACCAUGUGUGACACAUCUGCAGUGGUCGUUGAAAGUGUUGACGAGAGUGUUCAUAUAGCUACACUAUCUGAUCCAGCAGAAACGGUCGUUUUACCUGCAGUAGCGUUGCCAAUCCUCCCACGUCAGUAGGUCAAAUGACAACCAUGUCCCAUACAUC
Saccostrea cuccullata (small rock oyster) is the source of this 556-nucleotide long non-coding RNA. RefSeq lists it as uncharacterized. The record is from RefSeq and is a predicted model, not a curated record. Lineage: Eukaryota; Metazoa; Mollusca; Bivalvia; Ostreida; Ostreidae. The transcript is spliced from 4 exons.